UAUACGACCGUACCGCAAACCGACACUGGUGCGCGAGAUGAGUAUUCUAAGGCGCUUGAGAGAACUCAGGAGAAGGAACUCGGCAAAUUGACACCGUAACUUCGGAAGAAGGUGUGCCCUAUUAGUGUGUAGUGAACAACGAAGCAUGAAUGGGUUGCAAAAAAUCGGUGGCUGCGACUGUUUAUUAAAAACACAGCACUCUGCAAACACGAAAGUGGACGUAUAGGGUGUGACGCCUGCCCGGUGCUGGAAGAUUAAAUGAUGGGGUGCAAGCUCUUGAUUGAAGUCCCAGUAAACGGCGGCCGUAACGAUAACGGUCCUAAGGUAGCGAAAUUCCUUGUCGGGUAAGUUCCGACCUGCACGAAUGGCGUAACGAUGGCCACACUGUCUCCUCCUGAGACUCAGCGAAGUUGAAAUGUUUGUGAUGAUGCAAUCUCCCCGCGGAAAGACGGAAAGACCCCAUGGACCUUUACUGUAGCUUUGUAUUGGACUUUGAACAGAUCUGUGUAGGAUAGGUGGGAGGCUUUGAAGCAGGGUCGCUAGAUCUUGUGGAGCCAACGUUGAAAUACCACCCUGGUGUGUUUGAGGUUCUAACCUAGGUCCAUUAUCUGGAUCGGGGACAGUGCAUGGUAGGCAGUCUGACUGGGGCGGUCUCCUCCCAAAGCGUAACGGAGGAGUUCGAAGGUACGCUAGUUACGGUCGGACAUCGUGACGAUAGUGCAAUGGCAUAAGCGUGCUUAACUGCGAGACUGACAAGUCGAGCAGAUGCGAAAGCAGGACAUAGUGAUCCGGUGGUUCUGUAUGGAAGGGCCAUCGCUCAACGGAUAAAAGGUACUCUGGGGAUAACAGGCUGAUACCGCCCAAGAGUUCAUAUCGACGGCGGUGUUUGGCACCUCGAUGUCGGCUCAUUUCAUCCUGGGGCUGUAGCCGGUCCCAAGGGUAUGGCUGUUCGCCAUUUAAAGAGGUACGUGAGCUGGGUUUAAAACGUCGUGAGACAGUUUGGUCCCUAUCUUCCGUGGGCGCUGCAGACUUGAGGAAGCCUGCUCCUAGUACGAGAGGACCGGAGUGGACACACCACUGGUGUAUCGGUUGUCACGCCAGUGGCAUUGCCGAGUAGCUAAGUGUGGAAGAGAUAACCGCUGAAAGCAUCUAAGCGGGAAACUCGUUUCAAGAUGAGAUCUGCCGGGGCCUUGAGCCCCCUAAAGAGUCGUUCAAGACCAGGACGUUGAUAGGUCAGGUGUGGAAGUG
RNAcentral lists this ribosomal RNA (1248 nucleotides) under metagenome. Its description in RNAcentral is "bacterial LSU rRNA". It matches the Rfam family "Bacterial large subunit ribosomal RNA", at positions 1635 to 2875 of the family's 2925-position model. The record is from RNAcentral.